UCCGGUUUGUCACCGGCAGUCCCAUUAGAGUGCUCGUCCGAAACGUAGCAACUAAUGGCAAGGGUUGCGCUCGUUGCGGGACUUAACCCAACAUCUCACGACACGAGCUGACGACAGCCAUGCAGCACCUGUGUUGAGGCUCCCUUUCGGGCACCCUCCCAUCUCUGAGAGGUUCCUCACAUGUCAAGGGUAGGUAAGGUUUUUCGCGUUGCAUCGAAUUAAUCCACAUAAUCCACCGCUUGUGCGGGUCCCCGUCAAUUCCUUUGAGUUUUAACCUUGCGGCCGUACUCCCCAGGCGGUCAACUUCACGCGUUAGCUUCGUUACCAAGGAAUUGCUUCCCCGACAACCAGUUGACAUAGUUUAGGGCGUGGACUAC
This 377-nucleotide unclassified non-coding RNA is filed under the name uncultured Gammaproteobacteria bacterium. RNAcentral describes it as "contains 16S-23S intergenic spacer region". Lineage: Bacteria; Pseudomonadati; Pseudomonadota; Gammaproteobacteria. The record is from RNAcentral.